AGUGAGAUAGCUGGGUCAAAUUGUUAUUCCACUCCCAGUUUUCCAAGGAAUCUCCACACUGCUUCCAGACUUGUUGACCCAAUUUGCAGUCCCACCAGCAAU
RNAcentral lists this microRNA precursor (102 nucleotides) under Marmota monax (woodchuck). The record is from RNAcentral. Lineage: Eukaryota; Metazoa; Chordata; Mammalia; Rodentia; Sciuridae.